Long non-coding RNA from Dermochelys coriacea (leatherback sea turtle), 174 nucleotides. RefSeq lists it as uncharacterized. The transcript has 3 exons. The record is from RefSeq and is a predicted model, not a curated record. NCBI's taxonomy places the organism in Eukaryota, Metazoa, Chordata, Testudines, Dermochelyidae.
UGUUUGUCUCUUUUUUUGUUCCCUCUCUGGAUGGAGGGAGAAGCCAAGCAGGUACAAUAUCUCCUGAAAUAUAUACCUGUAAUAAUCCAUCUAAGACCACAGAAACUGUGAGUAGAGCAAGGAAAUGCAUUAGGUUAUCUUUUGUUUUGCCUUGUGAAUUUUCCUAUGCUAAAA